GCGCCUGUAGCUCAGGGGACAGAGCAACGGCCUUCUAAGCCGUGGGUCAGGGGUUCGAAUCCCCUCAGGCGCGCCA
RNAcentral lists this transfer RNA (76 nucleotides) under bacterium. RNAcentral's name for it is "tRNA-Arg". It matches the Rfam family "tRNA". From Rfam's summary of the family: Transfer RNA (tRNA) molecules are approximately 80 nucleotides in length. Their secondary structure includes four short double-helical elements and three loops (D, anti-codon, and T loops). Further hydrogen bonds mediate the characteristic L-shaped molecular structure. tRNAs have two regions of fundamental functional importance: the anti-codon, which is responsible for specific mRNA codon recognition, and the 3' end, to which the tRNAs corresponding amino acid is attached (by aminoacyl-tRNA synthetases). tRNAs cope with the degeneracy of the genetic code in two manners: having more than one tRNA (with a specific anti-codon) for a particular amino acid; and 'wobble' base-pairing, i.e. permitting non-standard base-pairing at the 3rd anti-codon position. The record is from RNAcentral. RNAcentral also lists the same sequence under 4 other names.